Molecule: long non-coding RNA, 22524 nt
Filed under: Marmota monax (woodchuck)
Lineage: Eukaryota; Metazoa; Chordata; Mammalia; Rodentia; Sciuridae
Rfam family: tRNA (bases 11999-12068)
Source: RNAcentral
UGUGUUGUGGGAACUUAUUCUUUUAUUCAAUAAAAUAUUGUACAAAUGUACCAAAAGAGGAACUAUGGCUUCUAUAAUUUUUUUUUCUUUAGACCAACCUCAAGUUCUUGCAGCAAAAUUUCUUUACUUGAUGUGCUACAAGUGAACUAGGGUCUUUAAAAUGUAUUUUAGAAUUUUUUUUCCAACAUGCUUCUUCCCUUGCAACAGGUACCGUUUUGCAGAGAUUCGCUACCAUCGCCCUGAGGAGACCCACAAGGGGCGUACAGUUCCAGCUCAUGUGGAGACAGUGGUUUUAUUUUUCCCGGAUGUUUGGCAUUGCCUUCCCACCCGCUCAGAGUGGGAAACCCUCUCCCGAGGAUACAAGCAGCAGCUGGUCGAGAAGCUUCAGGGUGAACGCAAGGAGGCUGAUGGAGAACAGGCACUGAACGCUAAUCCCUUUUUCUAUUUCCGCUUCUCACAGGCACAGGAACACAGGCACAAAUGCACACCACACACUACAUAACAAACACACAUGGAGGAACAUAAGUGGUAACAGCGACUGGUAAUCCAGCUUUCAGCAGUAUAGUUGAAUGUUCUUUUCUCUUAAAAAUUCUGUCUAUUAUGCUAACGUUGAGAGUGUUGAGACCUCAAAGGAAAAUAAGUUGUGCUUAAAUUGCACAGAAUUUUGUUUCUAUCAUAGAUCUAGUUGCUGGAAUCUGGGACCAGUUGUUGAGCAAGAUUAAGUAUUAAGCCAUUUUAAACAUUUUGCCAUUUUCUAAAAUUUAAAAGAUUUUCUCUUUCAUGGUCAUCAGUUCUAGUCAUGGAUAUUUGAAAUUGGACAACCACAAGUCUGAGAGAUUUGAAAUUUCAGGCUAUGUGGCAACGUCUUUGGUACAUUUCAAAGGUCUGACUAAAUCAGUCUUUGGGUGGCUUGAAAAUUGGGGCAAGAUCACACACUGUGUGGUUAGUGGAGACCGGCAGUGUUUGUGCAUCCCUGAUAUCCUUUGUGUUGUAAUUUAUCACCCUUUUGUGUUUCACAGAUCUGGCUUUGAUUGGCUGAUGAGUGUCUUUGUGAUCAGUUAAAAAUGAUAGAAUGUAUGUACGUGGACUUGCCUAAAUAAUAACUUUAGGAGAAGACAAUCUGAAACAUUUGUGACCUUGCACAGAUCAGCAACAGACUUUUAAAAGUGAAUUAAAUUUAUUUUAAGGUUUCAAAAUAGUAAUUAUGUUCUUAACUUUGUAUAUUAGGAUGAAGAAGAAAAGGAUGAUGGUGAAGCUAAAGAAAUUUCCACUCCUACCCAUUGGUCUAAACUUGAUCCAAAGACAAUGAAGGUAACUUUGAAAAUUAUGGUUUUUAAUUUGAAAUCUCUUUAACAGGAAUACAUAACAUUGGUGAGAAUGAUGGUAGUAUGUUUUUCAAAUAAAAACCAUUCAAAAUGAAGUCUGUCUUGGCACCAUUUGGAAUCCCAGGUUCUUUGGAGGCUGAGGCAAAUUUGAGGCCAGCCCAGGUAAUUUAGCAAGACCCUUCCUCAAAUAAAUAACAAGGGCUGGAGAUUUAGCUCAGUGGGGUAAAGUCCACUUUUUUUUUUUUGGAGUUUGUCCCAGGCCCUUGUGUGCUAUACAACCACUGUACCUCUGAGCUACAUCCCCAGCCCUUUUUAUUUUAUUCUGAGACAGGAUCAUGCUACAUUGUCCAGCCUGGCCUCGAACUUGUGAUCCUCCUGCCUCACCCUGCGCCAUCAGGUCUGGCUGUUCACUGAUUUUAUAUAACUAUAAUAUAUUGCAUUUACCUGUGAAUAUAUACAUACAUGUAUAAAUUAAAAAGUGAUGUUAAAUAUCAGUCUAGCUAGUACCUGUAAAAUGCUUGCAAUUUCAAAGUACCUGUAAUAUCAGGAAUAUUGUUUUCUGGUUCAGUAAUUGACCAAGAAGGCAGAAUUUAUCACUGGGCACAGUGGCACAUGGCCUGUGUAAUCCCUGUGGCUUGGUAGGCUGAGGUAGGAGGAGCACAAAUUCAAAGCCAGCCUAAGCAACUUAGUGAGACCCUGUCUCAAAAUAAAAUAUAAAAAGGGUUAGAGAUGUGGUUCAGUGGUUAAGUACCUCUGGAUUCAAACCCUGGUACCAAAAAAAAAAAAAAAAAGGAGGUGGGAGGCGCCAGAAUUCUUACACUUAUGGGGCUGGAGUUGUGACUCAGUGGUAAAGCACUUGCCUUGCAUGUGUGAAGCACUGGGUUCAAUGUUUAACACCACAUAAAAAGAAAUAAACAAAAUAAAGGUAUUGUAUCCAUCUACAACUAAAAAAUAAAAAUUUAAAAAAGAAUAUUAAAAGAAAUAAUUUCUAAACUUACGUAACUUAAAUUCAGGGGUCAGAAAAGAAACAGGAAAAAGAUGAACUUGUUUUAAAAAUAAAUUUAAGAGUAAAAUGUAGAAUGUAUGCCUCUAAACUGGGAAGGAAAUAAUUUAAUAAUUUCUUUGAAAAUAAGUGGUUAACCUGCGUUAGUUUUUUCUUCUGGGUGUCUCUAGCCCAGUUAUCUUAGUAUUCUUUCUGCUGUUUUGUAUUUCCGAACUAUAGUCUAUGGUCAAGAUAGAGACUGAUCUUUACUUCGCCUUUUACAGUUUGUUUUUAGCAAAUGCCUUCUAGUUGACUUUUGCUCUUAGCACAAAACAAUUUUUCUACUUAGUUAGGAACAAUUUCUUUCUGGAUUUUUGUUGUUUUGUGUUUGUGGGGUUUUGGGGGGUUGGGGGGAGACUGAUUUUUUUUUUUUUUCUUUUAGUACAUAGGAUUGAACCCUGGACUACUCUAUCACCACAUUAUAUCCCCAGCACUAAUUUCAUUUUAUUUUGUUGUUUGGGUUUUUAAGAGUUAUAACACAUCUCACUUAGUGUUGAAUUUGGCCUUGACUUGUGAACCUGUUAUCUCAGCCUCCUAAGUCCUAAGUAGCUGAGGUUACAGGACCUAGCAAGGCUUGAACCUUGACUUUAAACUCAUUGGUUUUUAGUAUGUAGACAUUGUAUGUCAUAAGAAUGUUAUUUGUUGAGAGCCACAGUUUAGUCAGAAUGAUGCCUGGCAUUUUUGCCAGAGGGAAUGGUUGAAAGAUGACCCUGCCCCGGAUUAGGGCAGAUCCUGCUGGGAAUAGGGCAGCUCCAGGAUUAGGGCAGAUCCUCCUGGGAUUAGGGCGGAUCCUGGUGCCUUGGGCACUACUUUGGAGUUCCCAUUGAGUUCUCUUGGGGUUCUCAGAGAAUUGGCGCGCAGAGCAGUGUGUUCCCGGGAAGUGUGUGUAGAGUGCAGGUGAGAGUUCGGGAAUAAAGGUUGCUGUUUGAACCUACAAGGCUGUGUGCCCAGCCAGACUGCGGCAGUUAUUCUUUAAUUGCUUCCAAGUUGUCAUCGUCAAUAUCAGGUUCAUAUAGGGUACUCAAAAGAUUAUGAAAACAUUGACAAUAAGACUAAGACUAUACCCAACACUUUUUAAUUUAAACUUGAUUGUUUUGAUGUUAAGUUCUAUAUUUUAUUUUUAUUUAUUUAUUUUUUUGGUACUGAGAAUUGAACCCAGGGCCACUUUACCACUGAACUACAUUCCAUAGUCCUUUUUAAUUUUUUAUUUUCAAAUAGUCUUGAUAAGUUGUAUAGGGUCUUGCUAAGUUGCCUAGGGGUGCCUUGCCUCGACCUUGGGUUCCUCUUACCUCAUUCUCCCAUGGAGCUAGCAUUAUAGGUGUGUGCCACCACAUCCAGAUUCUGUUUUCUUUUUUGUAGGAUAUAAGUAAUGUAUUUAGUUGGUUGGUUGGCUCAAAUCAAGUUGUAUUUAAAAGUUGCAUUUUAAUCAUUUUCAUUUAACAUCUUUUUUUCUCAUGUAAUUGUUUUUCAAUUUUACAUUAUAUGUGGUUUAUGUAUUAAUACUUCUUAGAUAUUGCUUUUUAUUGAAUGUGCAGAUUCUUUACUUUUUUGAAGUGAAGGACUGUUGUAAGUAAAUCUAACAAGGUAUGCUGGUGCAACUCUGUAAUCCCAGUGACUUGGGAAACUCUGCAGCAGAAGGAUUACAAAUUCUAGUCCAGCCUCUGAAACUAAGUGAGACCCUAUCUCAAAAUAAUGUGAAAAAAGGGCUUACCUAAUACCCAAAAAGGUCCUGUGUUCAAUUCCUAGUAUUUCCAAAAAAAGGUUAAUAAUUAGUAAAUCUGUUUUUCUCCCUGAGUUCAGGAUAUUUCAUACACACACACACACACACACACACACAUAAUUUUAAUAGUUUUAUUUACUUUUGGGGGCGAGUACUAGGGAUUGAACCCAGGCACUCUAGUAACUGAGCUAUAUUCCCAGCCCCUCAUUUAUUUAUCUUUAUGUCAGCUGAGGAUCAAACCCAGUGCCUCACACAUGCUAGGCAGGCCCUGUACCACUGAGCCAUGAUCCCAGCCCCCCAGGAUAUUUCUUUAGGUAAAUUCCCAGAAAUUAGAAUUACUGGGUCAAGGGUUAGGGGGAUACAUCAGUGGCAGACCACCUGCCUAGCAUGUGCAAGGUUUUGGGUUCAACCUCUAGUACCAUUAAAAAAAAAAGAAAAGAAGAAAAAAGGAACAGUAAAAGGACUUUGAAUCAUCUUAAAAUGUUUUGAAUUAUUUUCCAAAAUAUUCUAUACAUAUCACCUGUGUGGUUUUUUUUUUUUUUUGGAUACCCAGAAUUGCACUCAGGAGUACCUAGCCACUGAGCCAUAUCCCCAGUCUUUUUUUUACCGUUUUAUUUAUUUUUUAUUUUUUGGUACUGGGUAUUGAACUCAGGGGGCACUUAACCACUGAUCCACAUGUCCAGCCCUAUUUUGUAUUUUAGUUAGAGAAAGGGUUGCACUGAGUUUGCCUAGCGCCUCAGUUUUUCAGAGACUGGCUUUGAACUCACGAUCCUCCUGCCUCAGGCUCUGGAAUUAAAGGUGUGCACCAUGUUGCCAGGCACCUUUUUAUUUAUUUUGAGACUAAGUUGCUCAGGGCCUUGCUAAAUUGCUAAGUUGGUCAGGGCCUUGCUAAAUUGUUUACUAAGGCUGUCCUUGAACUUGAGAUCCUCUUGCCUCAGCCUCCCAAGAGGAUUAUAGGCAUGCACCAGCACGUCUGUCUUUUUUCAUAAAAUUUUUUUUUUUUAAAUCAGGUAAAAGUAUAUAGUUUGUUUACAUCUCAUUUUCUUUUUCUAUGUUUUUAUGUUGCAUACAUUUAGGUAAAUGAUCUCCGAAAAGAAUUAGAAAGUCGAGCCCUUAGUUCCAAAGGAUUAAAAUCCCAGUUAAUAGCUCGAUUGACAAAACAACUUAAAGUAGAAGAACAAAAAGAAGAACAGAAGGAAUUAGAGAAAUCUGAAAAAGAAGAGGAAGAAGAGGAUGAUAGGAAAUCUGAAGAUGAUAAGGAGGUAUUUAUUCAGCAUUUGAAUAUAGUUGUAUUGGUAUUUCUCUUAGUAUGUUGGGUGUUCGUGGAAUAUAUGACUUCACUUUGUGUGUGUGUGUGUGUAUUGUUUUAUUAAGGUAUGUAAGGUAAAAGUAGAAUUUUUUCCCACAGUUGCUUUACCACUGAGCUAAAUCCCACAAUUCUUUUUAUUUUUAUUUUAUUUUAUUUUUUUAAGUUUCAUUUAAAAUUUUUUUUUUUUUAAGUUAUCUAUGGACUUAAUGCCUUUAUUUGUUUUUAUGUGGUGCUAGGAUCAAACCCAGCGCCUCACACUUGGGAAGCAAUGCUCUACCACUAAGCUUACAACUCCAGCCCCCCUUUUUAUUUUUUGAGACCGGGUUUUUUCACUAAUGAGCUGAAGGUGUCCCUAAGUUGUUGAGGCUGACCUCGAACUUGUACUCCUGCCUCAGGCUUCUAUGUAGCUGGGAUUACAGGCAUGUGCCACUGCACCUAUCUAAAAAUUCAUACCUGUAAUGAAUAGUUCUGCAAUUUUUUAAAAUUAUUCUAAUUAGUUAUACAUGACAGUAGAAUGCAUUUUUUUAAAAAAUAUUUUUUAGUUAUAGUUGGGCAUAGUACCUUUAAUUUUUAUUUGUUUAUUUUUAUGUGAUGCUGAGGAUCGAACCUAGCUCCUCGCAUGUGCUAGGCGAUCGCUCUACCGCUGAGCCACAACCACAGCCCCUAGAAUGCAUUUUGACAUAUGAUACAUAUAUGGAGUAUAACUUCUCAUUCUUGUUGUACAUGGUAUAGAAUCAUACCAAUCAUUUAAUCAUAUGUACAUUCGGUAAUAAUGUCCGAUUCAUUGAACUAUCCUUCCUACUUCUAUACCCUGUCUCCUCUCUUCACUCCCCUCUGCCUAUCCAAAGCUGUUCUUCCCUAACCCCCUGCCCUCAUUGUGAAUUAGUAUCCACUUAUCAGGAAAAAACAAAAACAAAAACAAAAACAUUCAGCUUGAGUUCCAAUGAAAUGCUCAUGCCCUAAUUGUGAUGCUUCUAAAGUAAUAUGUUUGAUUGGAUUCUACUCAAGAAUAGACAAAUUAUUCAAGCUAUUUUGUACCUCAGUUUUAUAUCUAAUACAUUUAUUCCUUAGUGCAUAAGCUUAUUGUGUUCUCUGAAUUUGAGAGCUAGUGUGUUUUAGCCCCAGUAAUUGGAUAAACCCUUAGGGUUUUUAAAUGUGAUGUAUUAUAAAAUACCCAUCCACAAUUCCUAAAGUAGUUCUUCGAGAAGUAUGUGACAUAGAUCAAAUUGUAAGGAAAACAAUUGGGUAAAUCUGAAAAGUGAAAAAAAUUUUAUAAAGCAAGUUGUGUGAACUUUUCAGAAUGUAUCCACAUUAAAGAAAGAAACUUAGGAGCUGUCUUAGAUUGAAGAAGGUUAGUGAAUGUGACUGGAUCUGGGCUAGGGAAAAAAUGUCAUUAAGAAUGGUAUAUGGGCUGGGGAUGUGGCUCAAUCGGUAGUAGCGCUCUCGCCUGGCAUGCGUGCAGCCCAGGUUCGAUCCUCAGCACCAUAUACAAACAAAGAUGUUGUGUCUGCCGAAAACUAAAAAAUAAAUAUUAAAAUUCUCUCUCUCUCUCUCAAAAAAAAAAAAAAGACUGGUAUAAUUGGAGCCAGGUGUGAUGGCACAUACCUGUAAUCCCAAUGGCUCAGGAGGCUAAGGCAGGAAUCAGAGUUCAAAGCCAGCCUCAGCAAAAAGUGAGGCGCUAAGCAGCUCAGUGAGAUCCCGUCUCUAAAUAAAAUACAAAAUAGGGCUGGAGAUGUGGCUCAGUGGUUGAGUGUCCCUGAGUUCAAUUCCCAGUACUGGGGGGAAAAAAAAGAACAGUAUAAUUGGAGAAAUUUGAUUGUAUAUGUAGUUGUUACAUUAGAUAUUAUUGAAGUUUUAUUAAAUUUUGUGGAUGUGAUAAUGGUUUUGUGAUUAUGUAGGAGAAUUACCUUUUUUUAGACAAUACAUGAACUUGUGAUUUCUUAUCAAUUGGCAGGUAAAGUACUUAUUUUGGUGAUAACAUUUUUUCAGAAUUGACCAGUGGGAACCCUUUUAAGUUAUAUGUCCUUUUGAUAUAUCCUCAUCAUUUUUUGAAGGAUUUCUUACUUUUUGGCCUGAUAGGAUGUUUCAGUCUUAUUGUGUACAUUUCUCACUUUUGGUCUUCAGUCUCUUAUGGUCAGGAACCCAAAGAACCUGGUGUGGUGGUACACACCUGUAAUCCUAUUUACUAGGGAGGCUAAGGCAGGAGAAUUAUAAAUUCAAGGUCAGCCUGUAUAACUUAGUGAGACUGUUUCAAAAUGAAAAAAAUAAUGGGCUAGGAAUAUUGGGUAGUAGAAUGCCCCUGGGUUCAAUCCCCAGUACAGCAAAAAAAAAAAAAAAAAAAAAAAGAUAUCCAAAAGAAAGAAUUCGGACCCACAAAAGCUACUACCCUUAGUAAAUUUGAACUGUUCUCUUUUUUUCAAUCCUUAUAGUUGUUUUGGUCACUCUAAAGAAUUUUAGGUAUUUUGCCGUUUUUCUUUAUAUGGUAUACAUUUUUUGAAUACAUACAUAUUGUACAUGAAGGUUUAAACCAUGAACUAAAAUUUCAAAAUCCAGGAGGAAGAAAGAAAACGUCAAGAGGAAAUGGAACGCCAGCGUCGGGAAAGAAGAUACAUUUUGCCUGAUGAACCAGCCAUCAUUGUGCAUCCAAAUUGGGCUGCAAAAAGUGGCAAGUUUGAUUGUAGCAUCAUGUCUUUGAGUGUCCUUUUGGACUACAGAUUAGAAGAUAAUAAAGAACAUUCAUUUGAGGUAAUGUUUUAUCUUUGAAUCAGGAUCCAGAUAAGGUCCACAUAUUGUGUGUCUCUUAAAUCUCUUUUUCUCCCAGUUGCUAAUUAGGAAAAUCAAUAGUUUAUUCUAUAAAGUUUCAUAUAAAUUACUUUUGUUGAUUUUUUUAAUCCUAUGGUAUAGUAAUACCACUGAAAUAUGCUUGUGUCCUCUGUAUUUUCUAUAAAUUGAUAGUUAGAUCUAAAUUCUUAAUCAAGUUGUGGGCUUUUUUUUUUUUCUUUUAAAAAAGAAAUUUGAACUUUUUGAAGAAUCUGUUGAAAUCCUGAAUAGCUUUAGAACUAUUUAGAUAAGCCCAUGCAUGGUGGUACAUACCUGUAAUCCCAGUAACUCAAGAGGAUUGUAAAUUCAAUGCCAACUUGGGUAAUUUAGCCCUGUCUCAGAAAGAUUAAAAAGGAGAGGACAUGUUGCUCAGUUGCAGAACAGCCCUGGGGUUUGGUCUCCAGUGCUAUAAAUAUUAAAUAAAUAAGUAUAUUUUAGUGUAUAAGUUGAUGAAUAUGUGGUAGCUCUUACCAUGGCUCUCUGCAUAAUAAUAAUAAUGGAUAUUCCAUACUCAGGGUUUUUAAUUGUUUUAAAUGCCUGAAAUGUUCUUCUAGAUAUCUUCAUAAUUCAUUUAUUCAUUGCCUUCUAGUCACUUUUUUGUCGGGUGGAGGGUACUGAAGGUUGAACCCAGGGGUGCUUAACCCACUGAGACACUUCCCCAACCCCUUUUGAAUUUUAUUAGAGACGGGAUCUUGCUGAGUUGCUGAGGCUGGCAUUGAAUUUGCAAUCCUCCUACCACAGCCUCCUAAACUAAUGGGAUUACAGGCCUGUGCCACCAUGCCCAGCUCUCUGGUCACUUUUUAAAUGUCAGAAAGAGACCUUGUCUAACUACUCUUUCUCACUUUCUUUUUAUAAAAUACAUGCUAGGCAAGUGCUUUACCACUGAGUUGCAUCCCAGUCCCUUUAUAUGCUUGUUUUUCUUGUAAUUUGAUAUUAAUUGGGUUAUUUCUUAUACUAGGUUUGUUACCUUUGUGCUGAAAUAAAAUUUUUUUUUUUCUUUUCACUGCUGUAUUCCCAGCCCAUGGUACAUAGUAGGCAUUUGAUUAAAAACUUAUUGACUGGGUCUGUAGUCAUAGCUUAGUAGCAGAGAGCUUACCUAGCAUGUGUGAGGCACUGGGUUUAAUCCUCAGCACUACAUAAAAAUAAAUAAAUUAGCUAAAGGUAUUGUGUCCAUCUACAACUAAAAAAUAUUAAAAAAAAAAAAGUAUUGACCAACCAAUGGAAAUAUAAACAAACCCUUAUAGAAUAAAUAAAGUAUUGUGAAGAUUAAUAGUUUCGUUAGGAGUAUAGAAUUCUUUUUUUCUUUUCAGAUUUUCUAUAGUAGAUUACUUAUUAUAGUAUUUGACUAAAACUGUACUAACCUAAUAUUUUAUAUCUUUGAAACAUUGUUUCAGCAUUUUGAGUCUUUGACAUCAAUUAUUAUAACUAUAUUCUAAAUGUACUUAAUAGAUUCAGCAAAUAUUUAUUAAAAUUACUAACUGCUAGAUUUAAUAUUUCUGUUGCAUUUGUGUUAAUUUUCAUAUCUUUUUAUAGGUUUCAUUGUUUGCAGAACUUUUCAAUGAAAUGCUUCAGAGAGAUUUUGGUGUCAGAAUAUACAAAUCAUUACUCUCUCUUCCUGAGAAAGAGGACAAAAAAGAAAAGGAUAAGAAAAGCAAAAAAGAUGAGAGAAAAGAUAAAAAAGAAGAAAGAGAUGACGAAAAUGAUGAGCCAAAACCCAAACGGAGAAAAUCAGGAGAUGAUAAAGAUAAAAAAGAAGAUAGAGAUGAAAGGAAGGUCUGUAAUUAUUUCCAUAAUUUCUUCUUUUAGAUUGUAACAAAUGAUGUUAUUUCCAUCAGAAUAUUAAAAUAUGAAGCCAAACUUAUACUUUAGAAAAUUUGUCUUUUAAUUAAGCCAAUUCCCCAAACUGCUGAGGGCCUUAAUAAGUUGCUAAAUUGGUCUCCAAUUUGAGAUUCUCCUUCCUCAGCCUCCUGAGUUGCUGGGACUAUAGGCAUGAGCCACCACUCCCAGCUAUUGUUACUCUUAAAUGUAUUACUUUAUGGAUGCUGUGGUUAUGGCUCAGUAGUAGAAUGCUUGCCUGGCAUGUGUGAGGCACCACAUAAAAAUAAUUAAUUAAAUAGAGAUAUGAUGUCCAUUAUACAACUAAAAUAAAAAAGCAUUCCUUUUUUAAGAAAUUUGUAGUUUGAAACUAUUUUAAGUAAAUACCUUUUUUUGGUGAUGCUGGGAUUAAAACCCAGCGCGUUGCACACAUGCUAGGCAAAUGCCCUACCUCAGCUACAUCCCCAGUCCUUUAAAUAAAUAAAUGUAAUGGACUUAAUGUUUUCUUAUUAAAUUUUAAAUUACAGAAAGAAGAUAAAAGGAAAGAUGAUUCUAAAGAUGAUGAUGAAACUGAAGAAGAUAAUAAUCAUGAUGAAUAUGACCCAAUGGAAGCAGAAGAAGCUGAGGAUGAAGAAGAUGGUAUGAUUCAAAUUUUCUUAUUACUGAUUAUGUUUGAAAAAACAUUUGUUUGCUGACUUUGUAUCAGUGAAAUCUAUGAUUUUAAUAUUUUUUAUUAGAAAGUUAAAAUAUUCUCUAAUGAAAAUAUAUUAAGUAAUUGUUGUUUACUAAUUUUUAGGUGAGAAGGCUAUAUUUUGGUGCUUUUGGUUUUUUAUUUUUUAUACUACUGGUAAUUGAACCCAAGGUCUACAAAAGCUCCACAAGUGCUCUAACCAUUGAACUGACAGGGUCUUGCUAAUUUUCACAGACUGGACUUGAACUUGAAAUCCUCCUGCCUCAGCCUCCCAAGUAGCUGGGAUUACAGGUGUACACAUAUGCCCAGCCAGAAUAUAUUCUUCGAAAAAUAAUUUGGUUUAUUUUUAUUUUUUAAGUGAAUACUAUCAUCAUGCAAUGAGUAUAUAUUUAUGGUUUAAAUACUAUUAAUAAUAAUUACCCAUGGUACCUAUUAACCUAUGUCUUAAAAACCAUGUAGGGGCGGGCUAAGGUUGUGGUAGAGCACCUGCAAGAAAGGGUCUUGCGGAGUUGCUUAGGGUCUUUCUAAGUCGCUGAGGCUGGGUUUUCAAUACACCUGCCUCAGCUUUUCAAGUUGCCGGGAUUACAGGCAUGUGCCACCAUGUCUGGCUGACACUCUAAAUACUUUCUAGUUGGGCUGGGGGUGUGGCUCAAGCGGUAGCGCGCUCGCCUGGCAUGCGUGCGGCCCGGGUUCGAUCCUCAGCACCACAUACAAACAAAGAUGUUGUGUCCGCCGAGAAUUAAAAUAAAUAAAUAAAUAUUUUAAAUAAAUAAAUAAAUAAAUACUUUCUAGUAAACAUUCUGAUCAGUAAUAGAUGUUGGCCAUAAAGUAUCUCUGUGUAAUGCCUUACCCAUAUCUCUUUAUGUUGAUGUGACUUGAGAAUUUUGUCUUUUUCUCAUAUCAGAAAACUAAAAACUUUUUUUUUUUAUUAACUGUAUCUAUGGAUGAUACUUCUUAUUAUUAAAGGUUAUUUUGGUUUGCAGCUUUUGGGUUUUUUGGUAGUGGGGAUUUAACCCAGGGGCGCUUUACCACUGGGCUACAUCCUCAGUCCUUUAUUAUAUAUAUGUAUUUUUUAUUAUGAGACAAAGUCUCAAAGUUCCUGAGGACCUUACUGAGUUGCCAGGGCUCACUGUGAACUUGAUAUCCUCCUAUCUCCACCUCCCCAGUUGCUGGGAUUGUGGGCAUGUGCCACCCUGACUGGAUCAUCACAUUUUCUUCUCAUGUCAUUUCAUUUUUCUUAUUGAUGAAAAUAUUCACAUAAAAUGUUGAGGGGGCUGGGAAUAUAGUUCAGUUGGUAGAGUGCUUGCCUCACAUGCACAAGGCUCUGGGUUCAAUCCCCAGCACCAAAAAAAUAAAUAAAAUGUUGAGAGAAUUGUACAGUGAACACCCAUAUGUCUUCCAAUUAGGAUUUAAUAUUCAUUAAUAUUUGACUUAUUUGUUUUGUCUUUUUUCUGAUCCAUUUGAAAGUAUGAAUUCUUCAACUUACUUGGGAGGCUGUGGAAGGAGGAUCACAAGUUUGAGGCUAGCAUUAGCAAGUUAGUCCCUAAAACUUAAUGAAACCUUUUCGCAAAAUAAAAAACAUAAAGGAGAUGUAGCUCCAUUGUAAUGUGCUCCUGGGUUCAGUUCCCAGUACCAAGAAAAAAAAAAGCUUAGGAAAGAAAGGACAUACUUAAUCCCACAAUCAUACCUUUAUUAUGCAAUAAUGCCUUAAUAACACUUAAUACCUGUUUUUUCUUUGCCCUAAUAAUAGCAAUGAGAUGAUACACAUACACCAAUUUUGCUUCAUAUCUCUUCUGUUGUUACAUGGCGCAGUGCAAACUUAGCCCUAUUACAGCCAUAUUUCCUCCCCAUAUUGUUUUUUUUUUUUUUUUUAAAGAGAGAGAGAGAGGGAGAGAGAGAGAAUUUUUUUAGUAUUUAUUCUUUAGAUUUCGGCGGACACAACAUCUUUGUUUGUAUGUGAUGCUGAGGAUCGAACCUGGGCCGCACGCAUGCCAAGCGAGCGCGCUACCGCUUGAGCCACAUCCCCAGCCCCCAUAUUGUUUUUUGUUGUUGUUGUUUGUUUGUUUAUUUUGGGGGGGCAGGGGUUACUAGGGAUUGAACUCAAGGGCACUGGACCACUAAGCCACAUCCCCAGCCCUAUUUUAUAUUUUAUUUAGAGACAGGGUUGCUAAACACGUUGCUUUUGCUGAGACUGGUUUUGAACUAACCAUCUUCCUGUCUCAGCCUCCCAAGCACUGGGAUGUAGGUGUGUGCUACCUCACUCAGCUCCAAGUCCAGUGUUUUUUUUGUUGUUGUUUUGUUUUUUUAAGGUACUGGGGAUUGAACUCGGGGCCACUCAACCACUGAGCCACAUCCCCAGCCUUAUUUUCUAUUUUAUUUAGAAACAGGGUCUCAGUGAGUUGCUUAUUGCUUCACAGUUGCUGAGGCUGGCUUUGAACUUGCGAUUCUCCUAUCUCAGCCUCCCAUGCCACUGGGAUUACAGGUGUGUGCCAUUACGUCUGGCUACAAGUCCAAUUUUUAUCAUACCAAUUUUUAUAAAAUACAUAUUAGUUUCAGAAAAAUUAGAUUUAAUUAAGAGUUAGUCAUAUUUUUUUCUUUUUUUUUUUAAUUGUUAAAUUUUUCCCCCUUACAAUAGCCUCUAAAUUUGUAGGUCCACCCCAUACUGGUCCUAAAAGAUCUCUUGGAUUCUGUAAUGCCUCCUCUAAACACAGCUGUCUGCCUGAGCAGAUUUUUUUUUUUCAAAGCUCUGUUGUCCUCUGGUGGAUGAUUGACGAAUUGCAUUGUCCACUCUUCCACUUUUGGAGAUUUAGUUUCAUCUGAAGCCUGCAAUACCCUUUCACCGUUCCUAUGUUUAAAACUUUUUGUAAAUCCAAUUUGAGGGUCCCACUUAACGCUUUGAGAGUCUAUCUACUGCUGAAGAUUUUGUCCAGUUCAUGAUUUCAAACUGACUCCACCCCAUCUCCUUGUGGACAAAUUUGAUCUCGUUCUCUGGAGUCAUUAACUUGAAAUUGAAUGCUGUAGUAAAUUCUGCUGCAACCAAUGUCCAGCCUUCAACAGUGCAACACUUAUUAAAGGAAGUCUCAUAAUUCUCGUUGUUUUGUGUAAACAUAGAUAACGCCACUCCAUCCUCUGGAGUUCCUAGUGCUUUUACAGCACUCAGAUUGGAUCCUGAAGAGAAGGUAUUUUUUGGGGAUGUGGCUCAAGGGGUAGCGUGCUCGCCUGGCAUGUGUGCGGCCCAGGUUCGAUCCUCAGCACCACAUACAAACAGAGAAGGUAUUUUUUGUCCCACAGAUAAUGAGGCUUUUCCCUUCCAUCCAGUUUUCCAACUCACUUGCAAAUAUUGUAGCAUCAUAAAUCUCAAAAGGCAUUAAUUUCAGUGGUAUUGUUCAGAGUAACAAUGCCAAGUCCAUUUUCUUCCUUUUGCAGAUCCAACAUAUCUACCAGGAAACCACUAAAGCAUCACUUCUUCAUGAAAGCCAUGAGAUGUAAUAAAGUGAUACUGCCCCUCAGUGUAGUAGUUUUGUCCUUACAGAGAUGAUGGCUUCAAAAGACUUAUUAUUUUUAAGUUGGAACAAGGCUUUAAAGGUUUUCAGAAAUCAAAUAAGUGCUUUGAAGUUAGGCCUUUUUAUACUUUAAAAAAAUGUUAAAUGUGGUAUUUCUCCACCUUCCCUGAAAAGUUUUUCAGCACCCUCCUGUACCUCUGUAUAAACCACUCCUUUCCCAUUCCCAGGAGGGUACAUUGGGCUUCAGCUGCCAUCUAGCUGGGAAGCCUGGAGGCUCUCUGUGUGAGGGUCACUGGGAAAGGUGCUAACAUCCAUUCCACAACCACCUUCUGGGAUUCUCUUCCUUAUGACGCUUUUAAAAGUUAUGACCAGCUCUUAAAUAGAGCCCUGGAGGUCUCUGGGGUGACUUCCCUUUCUGCUUUCCUCGAUCAUCUUAAUUAAAAACAUCUCAGUUUCUCAUGUAGUUUUUCCUUUUGGGUUCUAGAAAAUAUACUUCACCUUGUUUGCUCAAGUUUGUGUUAUGUUUUUCAAUUUUAUCUAUAGAGUUAAUUUUAUCUUUUGAAAUAUAUCCUUCAGAUAUUUGUAAAAUUAAGGCCAUUUAAUUGAUUUAAUAAAGUCAGUUUGGUGCUGAUAGUGACAAGAAUGCUUGCCUGUCAUAUGCAAGGCCCUCAGCAUUGCAAAAAGAAAUAAUGAAAUCAAUUUGUCCCUCUAGUUUUUCUCCCAUCCCCAGUAGUGGGGAUUGAAUUCAGGGGUCUCUACAAGUAAACUACAUCCUCAGCCCUUUUUCUUGUUUGGAGAAAGGGUCUCACUAAAUCAUCUAUGCUACCCUCAACUUUAUAAUCCUCUUGUCUCAGUUUUCCAAGUGAGAUUACAUUCAUGUACCAUUGUGCCUGAUCACCCGAUAUAUUCUUCCUCUUAUUUUUUGUAAUUUUUUUUUCACAUCUACACUAUUUUUAUUUAUAUAUUUAUUUGAUUAAUUUGAAAAUUUGUUCUGUAGUGGAGGAAUAGUAUUUUUUUUGUUUGUUUGUUUGUUUUCUGUGGUGCUGGGGAUUGAACCCAGGGCCUUGUACAUGCAAGGCAAGCACUUUACCAACUGAGCUAUAUCCCCAGCCCAUGGAGAAAUAGUUUGUUUCUACAGUAGUUAAAAAUAUCUCUGUUAAUGAGUUUUUGCUGCUCUUACAUUUAUUUUUAUAGAUCGGGAUGAGGAAGAAAUGAACAAACGGGAUGACAAAAGAGAGAUCAACAGAUACUGCAAGGAAAGGCCUUCUAAAGAUAAGGUAUUUAUUGAAUAUUGUAUUCUUUAUAAUGUGAUGAUUUGUAUAUUUUACAUAAUUAAAUUUGAUUUUAAAAUAUAUCACAGUCAUGAAGUUUAUUAGUCUUCAUAUGCCUACAUACAACCACUUAGCAAAAUGCAGUUGAUGGGUUUUUGGUAUUUGGGACUGUCAUAUAACCAUUUUGUUUGAUUUUCUUUCUCUCAUAUUCAUAUAACAAAUGAACUUAUUUUAUUAGGAUGAAAUAAUGAUCUUUUAAGAUUGUUGCUAUUAUACUGACAUAAUUUCUUGUUUUUCAAUUGGAAAAAAGUAUAUACUAUCUUUUAUUUCUGUAUUUUUUUUAGGAAAAAGAAAAAACUCAGAUGAUCACAAUUAACAGGGAUCUAUUAAUGGCCUUUGUUUAUUUUGAUCAAAGCCAUUGUGGUUACCUUCUUGAAAAGGAUUUGGAAGAGAUACUCUAUACUCUUGGAUUACAUCUUUCUCGGGCUCAGGUAAUCUAUUCUGUGAAUUUAAAAUAAAAACCGUUUUUAUUACCAUUUUUUUUUUCUCCCUGUGCUGGGGAUAGAACCCAGGACUUGCUAAUGCAAGUGCUUUAGCACUGAAACUGCCUCUCCUGUAACUUUUCAAGAAGUUACUUUUUUUUGGUACCAGGGAUUGAACCCAGGGGUGCUUAACCAGUAAGUCACACCCCCAGCCUCCAGCCCUUUUUAUUUUUAUAUUGAGAUAGGGUCUCACUAAGUUGUUUAAGGCCUCACUAAGUUGCUGAGGUUGGCACUAAAUGGCCUCAGCCUCUUCAGUGAAUGGGAUUACAGGUGUGUAUCACCACGUUUGGCUAAGAAGUUACUUUUCAAAGAAAAUAUAAAUAGAAUAAGUUAAUGUAUUCAAUUCCAUAGGUAGGUGCUCAUUUUUUUUUACAUCUCUAUUGACUUUUUCAUUUAAAAGAAACAUAAUAGAUAUAAAUUGUAAGAGUCAAGCAAUACUGAAAUUUAUAAAGUAAAAAGGUUAAAAGCCCCUCUUUGCUCUUCUACUCCUCAGGUCCAGCACAUAACCUUCUAGAUUUUUUUGUAAUCAACUGUUUCAUUUUUAUAAACAUAAUAUGAAAUUAUGUUAUACAUAUUGAUGGAACUCUUUUAAAAUUUUCUAAUAUAUCCUGGACAUUUGUACCAUGAAAAUUCAGAUCUCAUUCUCAUAGCUGCAUAGUAUUCCAUUAUAUAGAUGUAUCAUUUAUGUAACUACUCCCUUAUUGCUUAUGGUUUUCAUAUUUUGGAAUUAUAAACUUAUGCUGUAAUAGACACCCCUUGUUACAUUUAUUUUAAUAUAUAUGUUAGUGUUUCUAAUAGUGUUACAAUUUUUUUUUUAAAUACUACGUUUUUUUAAAAGAAUAUUUUUAAAAUUUUUUGUUCAAUUUAAAACAUAUUUAUAUUUAUGUAUUUGACUUUGGGAGGAAAAAUUAAGUAGGGUUCACAAAAUUUUGAAGUAAAUUUGGAGAUUUUAGCAAGUGAUAAAAUAUCUACAAAAGUGUCCUGUGUCACAGUAUAUAUCUAAUAGCUCCAUAAAACAAAAACUUACAUUUCAGGCCAGGAAUUUUUAGGUUUCACCUCUUGCCAAUGUUUUUUCCCCCUCUAACUGGUGUAGUGUUACAAUUUUUAACAAUUAAAUUUAUUUUUCAAAUAUAACUUGGAUGUGAUUGAGUAGGAAUGGAUACCUGAGAAAGCAGUUUCCACAGAUGUUCUUCAUUUCUAAAAAUUAGAACACAGUUGUUCAAGGAAAAUCAAAACACAUUUUCAUCUUUUUAAUGUGUUUACUUGCUUAUAUUAUAGGUAAAGAAGCUUCUUAAUAAAGUAGUUCUCCGUGAAUCUUGCUUUUAUCGGAAAUUAACAGACACUUCAAAAGAUGAAGAAAACCAUGAAGAGUCUGAAUCAUUGCAGGAAGAUAUGUUAGGUUUGAGUAUAUUGAAAUCUUGCGUUUUUAUAAAUAUUCAUUAGUUUAAAAAAAAAAAUCUUACUAAAGUGUAUUGUCUUUUAUUAUAGGAAAUAGGUUGUUACUGCCAACACCAACAGUAAAGCAGGAAUCAAAGGAUGUGGAAGAAAAUGUAGGACUCAUUGUGUACAAUGGUGCAAUGGUUGAUGUAGGAAGCCUUUUGCAAAAAUUGGAAAAGAGUGAAAAAGUAAGGGCUGAAGUAGAACAGAAGCUGCAGUUACUAGAAGAAAAAACAGGUGAGGGACAAUAUGAAUAUGUUAGUACUUUUAAAGCUCUGUUUGUGUGUGUGUGCACGCACACACAUACCUCACAUUUUGCUUUGGACAGUGUAUAACUCUACUUUCAUCUGUUUCUAUUGGAGACAAUAAAAUCACUUAGUUUUGUAAGAAUUUUUCUUGUUCAAUGGGGUGUAGUGGGGCAUGCCUAUAACUAGAGAGGCCACUGUAGGAGGAUCACAAAUUUGAAGGCAGCUUAACAAGACCCUGUCUCAAAAGUAAAAAGGGCUGGGGAGGUAUCUUGGUGGAUAUUAGUUGUUCAUUCUCAGGUUCACUUGAUAUUCUGUUCUAUCCUUUCAGACCUCUGCUAGUUCCACUUACUUUUUAUUGGUUCCUAUUUUUGCUAGUUUGUUGCAGUCAUCUAAAAAUUGAAACUGGGUUUAGAAAUACUAGUAACUAAAACUUAAUUUCAAUAAAAACAGUAUUGCAUUGUGCUUUAGGUAACUAAUGAAGUUGGUAUUUAUGGGCAUUUUAAAGAAUUGCAUCUGCUUUUUAUUUUCAUAGCUUAAGUAUUUUUAACCUCAAGCUAUACUGGAAAUUAUAGGGGUUCAAGAGGUUUGUUUUGGACUUUUUUUUUUUAAUAGAUGAAGAUGAAAAAACCAUAUUAAAUUUGGAGAAUUCCAACAAAAGCCUCUCUGGUGAACUCAAAGAAGUUAAAAAGGACCUUAGUCAAUUACAGGAAAACUUAAAGGUUUCAGAAAACAUGAAUUUGCAAUUUGAAAACCAACUGAAUAAGACAAUCAGAAACUUGUCUACAGUAAUGGAUGAAAUCCACACUGUUCUCAGAAAGGUUUGAAAUUUUAUACUUUCAACAUUUUCAGAGUUUAUUUAAAUUUUAAAAACUAUUCAUAGCAUUUUUAAUGUACUUUAAUGUUAUUUUGCUCUUUGUAAAAGCUUUUCCUAGAAGCAAAUGAUAGCAUUCCAUCUUCUUGAAACUAGUCAAAAGUAAUUCCCCAAAGAUUAUAUUUUUCUAAAAUUUAAUGAUGAAUGUCAGUAUGGUUUAUGUGUACAGAUUUUUUUUGAGGUUGACCCCAAAUUUAUUUUUUUAUUCACACAGAUUUCAGAUAUGUUAUUGUAUUUAAUCAUCACAGUAUCCCUAUUAGUUAAGCAUUGUUUUAUUUUUUUUAAAUACACGACAGCAGAAUGCAUUUACAAUUCUUAUUACACAUAUAGAGCACAAUUUUUCAUAUCUUUGUAUAUAAAAUAUGUUCACACCUGUGUGUACAGAUUGUCUGAAGCAAAUGUUGAACUGGAGAUGUGGCUCAGUGAUAGAGUGUAUGCCUAGCAUUAUGUGAGGCCCUGUGAUUAGUCCCUAGCACCACAAAAUUUAUUUGUAUUUCUUUCUAAACCAAAGAGUAUUUUUGAAGUAAGAUAUGAAAUCAUUUGGUUCUUUUAAACCAUUUAUUGUGAGGCAGAAUUUAAGAAAAUUCUUUGGCAUCAGAUAUUAAUCGCUAUAAAAAUUUUAUAAUUGAAUUACAUUAUAAAAUACCUUCAAAUAACAUGUAAGAAAAUCUAAUAAAAUAUACCUUUUCCUUAUCUAUUAUUUUACAGGAUAAUGUAAAGAAUGAAGACAAAGAUCAGAAAUCUAAGGAGAAUGGUGCAAAUGUAUGAUAAAAUUUGUGUCGUGAUGAAAAAUGCUGUUAAAUAAUGUAAUAUAUAAAAAUCAUGAUACAAGAAUGUUUGAAGGUGAUGCAUGUUUUAGUAGUAUAAAUUCUGUUAGUUCAAAUGGUGUAUAAAGUUUUAUGAAUGUUGAGUCUGCUUUUGAAAAUUGCUUGUAAUUUCUAGCAUUCAAAUUAUUAAACACUCCUUGAGUGAAAUAAUUUUGCAUUGCAAAAUGUUUUAGGAUGAACUUUGUUAUAGUUUUAACCCCAAUAAAGUUCAUCAAUUUACUUGACAGUAGUAUUUAAUUACCAAAUGUCUUUUAUUAAAAUGCCUAAAUUUUUUUUUGUUUUUUAUGCAUAAAAGUUUUUUAUUUUAUUUAUAGAAUUAUCAUUAUUUACCUUUUAAUUUUGUAGUCCAUCUUUUAAAACUUCACUAUAAAUCAUAAAAUAGCAAGCUGCUUACUUUUUGGACCAGAAAUAUUUUUACUCUUCACCAAAAAUCCCCUCUAGUUAUCAAUAUCUAAAAACAUUGUUAAAAAUUCAGUUCACCCAAAAGACAGUUCAUUAAGAACUAAGAAAGCAGUAGACAACUGGUGUUGGUAUUUUGUUUGUUAGGCUUUACGUAAAAUUCAUAGACCUGAUGUUAAUGUUAACUGUUAACUGCUUUCAAUUAAUUGUUCUACUUUCCCAGAGUAGCACUUCUAUUACUUUUAAUUAUGAGGGUUUCUUUUUAAAAAAUUCAGUGUAUGUCAAAUGUACAGUUUAGUACCAAACCAAUAGAUGUCAGUAUGAUGCCUUAAGUUAAAUUUUUAAUUAAAAAUAAUUUUUUUUUCUUAGUCUGUGUAUGUACUUAAGAGUUUCAGAGGUGUUUAAGAGUUCAUGUAACUGUUGAGUGAAAAAAAGAAGGAAAUGUGAUGUACUCUGCAACAGUGGUUUUCAACAGGAUGUGAAUUUAUCCUUCAGAGGGCAUUUGGCAAUGUUUGGAGAUCUUUUUAAGCAAUUGGGUGGGGGGCUACUUGCAUCUAUUUGUUAGAGACUAAGAAUGCUGUAUAGGACAGUCCCCCACAAUGAGGAAUUAUUCAGUCCAAAAUGCCAGUAGUGCCCAAUUUGAAAAAUCCUGCACUUAAGGAAUAUAAGGUUAAACAACAUUUUGUCUUUAUAAAAUUAUACUUAGGGAAAACUUAGCUGAAUCUGUAGAUGAUUAUUUUUUUAUACUUACAAAACUCGAAGUGGAAUGUUUUGCUCUCAUAAAAAUAUAUGUUAUAUUAGAGUUUAUUUCAUUUUGUUUUACUCUUUCAUUUUGAUAGAAUAAUGGCCAGAUAUUCUAAAUAGGUGAAUAUGAGACUUAAUAUGUGACUUAAGUCAAAUGGAAUCCAUAUGGCUCUUACUGAGGUAUGGAUUAAAACUCUUCAAAUUCUUCAAACCACUUUUUGUCUUAAAUUGAUAUUUCUUCUCUUCAGGUCUAGUUGAACCUCUCCAAAGUCACUUUACUUCUUGAGCCAUAAUUAUAUCAUUAAUAUGUAAAUGUUUCUUCAUCGUUGAGAUGAGAUGAAACUGUAUAGGUUUUUUAGUUUGUUUUUUGGUACUAUAGGGAUUUAAACCAGGGUCGGAUUUUAUUUUCUUCUUGAGACAGGAUCUUGCUAGGUUUGCCCAGACUAGCCUCAAAACAUGGAAUCCUCCUGCCUCAGCCUCCCAAGUAGCUGGAAUUACAGGUGUGUGCCUCCAUGCCCAAUAAAUUAUAUGGAGUUUUUUAAAGCAAGCACUUUACCUCAGAGUUAUAUCCCCAGCUCUAUUUUAUUUUGAGACAGGGUCUUAAUACGUUUCCCAGGCUAGCCUUGAACUUAUAGUCCUCAUGCCUCUCCCUCCCAAAUUGCUAGGAUUAUGAGUUGAUAUUGUAGCUUGCCUACCCUGUGAGAAACUCUGGGUUCAACCCCUAGUACUGCAAUAAGAAAAAUGUGGUUUACCAAUCGGCUGAGAUUGCCAUAUGCCACUGCAGCUGAUAGGAAACUUUUAACUAAAAGAUAGUAAUGAUAGAUUUCCUGCAAAAGUAUAUUUUUAAAUGAAAGAUCAGGGCUGGGACAUGGCUUAGUGGUAGGUCACUUGGCUAGCUUACAUGAUGCCCUCAUUUAAAUCUCUAAUAAGAGAGAGAUCAUACAAAGGCCAACUAACAGCUUUUAUUUUUGUACAAUAAAUUUUAAAUAAGCAUAAGGUGGAUAUGAUGGAGGAAGAAUCUAAACCUUCCAAUUUUAUUUUUACUUACAGAUAUAAUUUCUUUUUUAAAAUGUAAUUUUUUAAGACACUAGGGAUUUAAUCCAGGAGUGCCCUACCACUGAGCUACAUCCCUAGCGCAUUUGUAUUUUUCUUUUGAGACAGGAUCUCACUAAAAUUUGACCAGACUGCCAAUUAAGUUUCUUGUAAAUGAGUGUCAUCCCCUGGAGUAACAAAGGGGUAGUCCUAGCAGAAGAGGUAAUUUGUGCUUCUCUUUCUCAAUGAAAUUGAUGAUGAACUGUCACAAGGAACAGUAAAUUACUUGGUAGAAAUAAUUCCGACAUCUCUUUUGUUGUUAAAUUAAAAUUUAAUUUCAUGAUUUGGUGCCAGACUGUUUGGAUAAGCAAAGUGUAGGCCAUGAUGUUUUGAAAAUAUUCAGUGAAGCCAUUAAAUAAAAAUUGAAAAUAACCCAAAGAGUUAAUGUUAUGGGAUAUGUAUCUUUCAGAAUAUUUGGAAUACAUUCUAUAAAAAAUUUGGAGAAAUGGAUAAGGGAAAAGAACUUAGUGUAGACUCAGUUAAAUGAUACUUAAAUCGCUUAUUGGAAUUGAAAAUAUCAGGUGGUUUUGGUAAUAAUCUAAUAAAACAUCUGAUUUUGGAUGACUCCAAUUUUUAUAGGUUUUUUCCUUUCUUUUUUGACACUAGUGAUUGAAUCCAAGUGUACGUAAUAUCUGGGCCACAUCCCUAGCUAGACCUUUUUUAGUUUUUAUUUUGAGACUAAGUUGCUGAUAACUAAUCUCAAACUCGCACUCCUUCUGUCUUAGCCUCCUGAGUCACCAGGAUUACAGGUAUGCACCAGCAGUUUUUUGGGUUUAUAGUUUGUUUUUUACAUAAUUGACCUCAACAGUUAAAAUUGUGUUCCAAAAUUGAAUUCCAAAAGUUGUGUCAAAAAUAAACAGAACUUUAU